This 801-nucleotide ribosomal RNA is filed under the name uncultured bacterium. RNAcentral describes it as "bacterial SSU rRNA". It matches the Rfam family "Bacterial small subunit ribosomal RNA", at positions 55 to 824 of the family's 1533-position model. The record is from RNAcentral.
AUGCAGUCGACGCGAUACAUUCGGUAGCAAUACUGGAUGUGUCGAGUGGCGCAAGGGUGCGUAACACGUGGGUAAUUUGCCAUGAAGACUGGGAUAAUCCCGAGAAAUCGGGACUAAUACCGGAUGUGAUUGAGAUCUGGCAUCAGGAUUCAAUCAAAGGUGGGGACCUGUUAAAGGGCCUGCCGUUUCAUGAUAAGCCCGCGGCCUAUCAGCUAGUUGGUUGAGGUAACGGCUCACCAAGGCUAAGACGGGUAGCUGGUCUGAGAGGACGACCAGCCUCACUGGAACUGAGACACGGUCCAGACACCUACGGGUGGCAGCAGUCGAGAAUUUUUCUCAAUGGGGGAAACCCUGAAGGAGCGACGCCGCGUGGGGGGUGAAGGGCUUCGGCUCGUAAACCCCUGUCAUUUGCGAACAAAGUUCACUAUUUAACAGGUGGUGAAUUGAUAGUAGCGAAAGAGGAAGGGACGGCUAACUCUGUGCCAGCAGCCGCGGUAAUACAGAGGUCCCAAGCGUUGUUCGGAUUCACUGGGCGUAAAGGGUGCGUAGGUGGCUACUUUAAGUUUGAUGUGAAAGCUCCGGGCUCAACCCGGAAAUGGCAUUGAAGACUAUUGAGCUAGAGGUUUGGAGGGGGGACUGGAAAUGCUUGGUGUAGCAGUGAAAUGCGUAGAUAUCAAGCGGAACACCGGUGGCGAAAGGCGAGUCCCUGGACAACACCUGACACUGAGCACGAAAGCUAGGGGAGCAAACAGGAUUAGAUACCCUGGUAGUCCUAGCUGUAAACGGUGCACGUUUGCUGUA